RNAcentral lists this ribosomal RNA (623 nucleotides) under uncultured bacterium. Its description in RNAcentral is "partial 16S ribosomal RNA". The stretch from base 1 to 531 matches the Rfam family "Bacterial small subunit ribosomal RNA", at positions 338 to 873 of the family's 1533-position model. The record is from RNAcentral.
CCUACGGGAGGCAGCAGUGAGGAAUAUUGGACAAUGGGCGCAAGCCUGAUCCAGCCAUGCCGCGUGCAGGAAGACGGUCCUAUGGAUUGUAAACUGCUUUUGUGCAGGAAGAAACACUCCCUCGUGAGGGAGCUUGACGGUACUGUAAGAAUAAGGAUCGGCUAACUCCGUGCCAGCAGCCGCGGUAAUACGGAGGAUCCAAGCGUUAUCCGGAAUCAUUGGGUUUAAAGGGUCCGUAGGCGGUUUAAUAAGUCAGUGGUGAAAUCUGGUCGCUCAACGAUCAAACGGCCAUUGAUACUGUUAGACUUGAAUUAUUAGGAAGUAACUAGAAUAUGUAGUGUAGCGGUGAAAUGCUUAGAUAUUACAUGGAAUACCAAUUGCGAAGGCAGGUUACUACUAAUGGAUUGACGCUGAUGGACGAAAGCGUGGGGAGCGAACAGGAUUAGAUACCCUGGUAGUCCACGCCGUAAACGAUGGAUACUAGNUGUGUAGNAUACUGNGUGUGUAGACGAAGUAGAUAAGUAUACCACCGUACGGAGGUAGUCGUCGACGAAGUAGUAAGUAAAGUAAGUAAGUUAGUAGUACGUGAGAGAGACGACGACGACGACGACGGAGGGAGGAGG